Molecule: non-coding RNA, 3983 nt
Organism: Ciona intestinalis (vase tunicate)
Lineage: Eukaryota; Metazoa; Chordata; Ascidiacea; Phlebobranchia; Cionidae
Source: RefSeq, a predicted model, not a curated record
CGUUAUCUUAGAAUAACAGAUCUUAAAAGGUGAUGCAAAUGUCUUCAAAUAUUGCCUUGUUUAGACCGCAAUUAAACCAAGUUUUGGACAUAGUUGUUAAUCUGGUACGAUGGUCCAAGCACGAAACAGCAGCAGUGAUGUAAUGCGUGGUAGAUUGAAACCAGCAUUUAGGAGGAAGUAACAUACAAUAAACACCUUUAUAUUACGGGUAUUGUUCAAGACACAUAUCACGAACUACGCAACGAAAUUCAAUAAUAUCAUUACGGCAGUAUAUGUGUAAUACCGUGUCCUAUAUACAUGGGGCGGAAACUAAAUAUGUGGUCGUUGACGCGAUGCGAACUAAACCUUGAGUAUUUAACAUGCAUAUGUAGUAUGUGACGUUUUAAUAAAUAAUUUACCCAAAAAUUUCGAGGGGGCUGUCUUACGUGUAAGAAACGGUAUGCAUGGGGGUAUACAAUAAUAAUAUAUACCUUAGGUGCACGGGAGAAUGUAGUGGCCCAAAUUCUUAAGUACGGACGUUCACACUCUUAUAACAUCAUAUAUAUUUAUACGUUGAAAAGUGUUUCGGUUUUUUCAUUUUCGGAAAUUUUAUUGUUGAGAUAUGAAUUAUGGUAACAUGCGUAUUAACGUCGAACAUAGGCAGUGAUUAAAUGACUUCGACAUACGAGUAAAUACAUGAGCGCGGUCAAUCGAGUUGUCCUAUACCAAAGCGCUAAGAACGAAGCACAAUUAUUAGAUUAAGUUUUCUGCUGGUACUUGAAUCGUUGAUGGCAGUUUGGUAUGAAGAGCAAAAUGUGACGUUUGCUCAAGUAUAAUCUUUAUUAAUUACCGGUUCAGACCGGUCGGGCAUAAAAAGAAAAGUCCCGUAAUAGCGGAAUAUACGUUCAUGGACAAAAGACACUCGUAUGCAACAUACCAGGCACGACAAGUUUAAGUGAGUUGUUCUAAUAAGACACCGAUGGUUCUUGGAAGAUUUUGAUUCAAUGAUUUGCAUUUUGUCGCUGAUAAUUGUGUUAUGAAUGUCGAUAAGAGUGUAUACAACAGAAAAUAUACUCACAUUGGGUAAAUGGUAAUGUAGGUAUAACACAAAAUUUGUUCUUAAAACAAAUCAGAAUAUAGAUGGAUUACAGGGGUUUCGAAUGUUAGCAUAUAUAUCACAACAUCAGAGUACACAGCCAUUUUGAAUAAAUUCCGAAAAUGCGCCUUUAUUGGUAAAUCAUUUACAUUCUUGAUGCUGCGAAUACAGGCUGCUAAAGGUCAUGUUCAAUUGCCUUUCCGUAGGUGGCAAUAUCAUCAAGUCCAAGGUUCGGCAUUUGGGUCAAAGAAAUGAUUCAGCAACAUUCUUGCACUUGGAAAUGAAAUGCGAGCUUCGCACUGCGGUUUGUCAUUUAACUGGUCAAAGUGCGAAUACUUUGCAGUUAUGUCGCCUCUCACACACCAGACAAGGUGCAAUUUAAAAAGCCAAAGCAACAAACGCGAAUUCAAGUCAUUUUUUUGCUGAAAUUAGGCCGAAUUUACGAGAUGAGAAUGUUGAUUGUGGGCGAAAGGAAACGUAUUGUUUCUGUGGGGGUGGAUAUGAGAUGCGAAAAUUAAAGCUUUAAAACUUAAUUGGACACCCGUACGCUCUUCAUCAGCCAAUCGCUAAUCCUUUUUAAUUAAAUAUCUAAAUUAAAAAUACUUUGGAAAAAUUUAAAAUUUUAAAGAAAAUGAACGAAAAUGGAAGUACGAAGAUAUUUAGAGUCGGGGGUAAGGUGGGACGGGAUCUCAAUCUUUUUUUUAGAGCGUUGUUAAUUGUUUUAAAAGAGCGUUGUUAAUUGUAAAAAAAGACGAUCAUGAAAUGAUGGAUUUAAAAGCUAACAGUAUACGUCGUAACCUGCAGUAUUAUAUGCGUAAAAAAUGGUGAACUCGGUAUCAGGAUUGUUGGUUGUAAGUUGAAACUAGAUUAAGUAUUUGAUAACCUUGCAUAACCCUGCUUAAACGGGCUAGGGCUGGUGGGAAGUGCUUAAUGCCGGAAAUCGUUACGUGGGGUUAUAUGUGAACGUUUGCGUUGCUGGUAAUGUUGAAUACGAACGUGUUAGACCAGUUAUGUGUGUGUGUGUGGGGGGGGGGGUGCUGUACGAUUUUUAUAGCUAUGCUGUUGCGACCCAUACAAUGCAUUUUCAGCCCAAAACUGAAAAAUAUUCAAUUUUUGAGAUUGACCCGUAAUGUAACUAAUGAAAAAGUUUAAAAAAAGAAAUAAGUCAUAACUUUUAGCUGGAACGAAUGCGCAAAUGCUCUGUACUCGCUCAUAAACGGCCGGCUUAUAAUACCGGAUAUCGGCACGGAUAAAACACCUGUUCAAAGGCUUGAGGAUAUAACGCGACUAUUCUGCGAGCUACUGAGCCGGCCCAGCACAAAAGCUCGAAUAAAGCAGAGACAUAAUCACAGGAUUUAAGAAGCUCCGGGUCCAAAAAUAUAAGCUUGGUCCAGAUUAAAAUUACGGCGUAUAUAAGCGCGGUGUGGUACGACUGUCGCGCGACGAUGCGAGUUAAAGUGCUUCGUUGCGAUUUGUGCCAUGCCAUAAUAACAGGAACUACAUUUGGAAUUUGUAUUUUAUGAACUAAAAAAACCUUUGAAUUCUUUACCAGCCUCAGUGGUGAUGGAGCUAUGCAAAACGGAAUAACAUAUGCCAUACGCUAUGAGGAAGAUUUAUAUUCUCCGCACCCCAAGGGCUCAACGGAUCGUCCAUUUUGAAUGUUAGUUUGAGCAAUAAGGGUGGACGGUUAGAAUCUUAGCCUUAUCGCAACCAACCUUUAACUUACAAACCACUUCGGGCGCAAUGCGGAGUCUUAUCUAUAAACAACUCCAACCUUUCGAAGCUUGUUUGUUGCAGAGUGCUCUCGACUACGAAGGGUAAGCAACCGCAUUCUACGGCUCGCGGGGAGAUUAGCAAAAAACAAUCGCCAUCGGCGUUUAAUUUGCGUUGAUUUUGGAAACUGAGCGAACGUACUCUGUGUAUGGAUUGGAAACUUACUUUAUUAAACCUUAGAAAACGCAUUUUAAAGGGUUAAAUUGCCAUACCGUUUUGGUCGGAAAUUUGGGCUUUACGAAAACAUAUGUAGUUGGUAUGUAUGUUGUGGUGUUGUUUUGUUAGAUGUUUAUUUCUGCCGCGCGGUGAAAGUAAAAGCACAUCACUAAACUAUUGGAAGCCAGUGACGGUUGCUGCUGGUGGAAAUUUCCGAAGGCCAGAGAAUGGUCUACUAAAGUAUUGUCCUUUGUAAUACUAAGGGUGGCCCAGGAGAAGUUUAUUUGUUUAAGUUAGGCCUAUUAUUUGAAGCGAGCGAGUCAACGGCGGAAAGGACUUAAGUGUGUUUUUGAAGCUUGUAAAAACAACCCACAAAGAAAUGUGCACACUCGUCGUCGAGCUUUAAAGUUAUGAGGCUUGGAAUUAUGAAUAUGAAAAAACCUAAACAAGAACUCCAAUGCGAGGAACAUAUCUUGCCAAAACUGUGCAUUUUCGGUGACAGUGUCCAAUGUUCGUCAUUAAAUAUUCGGUGGGUGAAACUAUAGCCUAGUUCGUUCUUUCAUUUCAUAUCACGCGUGUAGAUGUAGCACUCAUGAGAGCUGCUUCUGUUUGGGCAACGCGGCCCAAAUACCCAAAAUUCUAAACGAUGCGAGUAGCAACAAACAAAUGUACAGCGGACAUGAGCAAACCUAAUAAGCUGGUUUGGUUUUGAAAGGAGAAAGAAGCGACACGUACUACACACAACGAUGACAUAUUGCACACUCGUAAGAAAGGCUAAUAUACCGCUUUGAAUAAAACCGGUGUAGAAAAUGACACGAAACGUUCAUCGAAGGUAUUUCAGCUAAAUAAAUAUACACAAGUGCUAGGAUUUUUUCUAACGAAAUUGUGAUAAAAUUUAACCUGUGCUUUUACAAUUAGAACAUGUAAGUGGCCCAGUUAAAAUUGUCGCUUUUAAUGCAUAGUGACGUAAUACGCACCU